AGCAGCCGCGGUAAUUCCAGCUCCAAUAGCGUAUAUUAAAGUUGUUGCAGUUAAAAAGCUCGUAGUUGAAUUUCGGGAUCAAUAUGUUGGUCGUGCCUUGGUACGUACUGGCAUUAUCGAUUCCUACCUUCUGAAGAACCUCGAUGUCAUUAAUUUGGUGUCUUGGGGAAUCAGGACUGUUACUUUGAAAAAAUUAGAGUGUUUAAAGCAGGCUCGCGCUUGAAUACAUUAGCAUGGAAUAAUGAAAUAGGACGUUUGAUUCUAUUUUGUUGGUUUCUAGGAUCGACGUAAUGAUUAAUAGGGAUAGUUGGGGGCAUUAGUUUUCAAUUGUCAGAGGUGAAAUUCUUGGAUUUAUUGAAGACUAACUACUGCGAAAGCAUUUGCCAAGGAUGUUUUCAUUAAUCAAGAACGAAAGUUAGGGGAUCGAAGACGAUCAGAUACCGUCGUAGUCUUAAC
Molecule: ribosomal RNA, 456 nt
Filed under: uncultured Glomus
Lineage: Eukaryota; Fungi; Glomeromycota; Glomeromycetes; Glomerales; Glomeraceae
Description: SSU rRNA
Rfam family: Eukaryotic small subunit ribosomal RNA
Source: RNAcentral